This 440-nucleotide ribosomal RNA is filed under the name uncultured bacterium. RNAcentral describes it as "bacterial SSU rRNA". It matches the Rfam family "Bacterial small subunit ribosomal RNA", at positions 338 to 770 of the family's 1533-position model. The record is from RNAcentral.
CCUACGGGGGGCACCAGUGGGGAAUAUUGCACAAUGGGCGAAAGCCUGAUGCAGCCAUGCCGCGUGUGUGAAGAAGGCCUUAGGGUUGUAAAGCACUUUCAGCGAGGAGGAAAGCUUGUGAGUUAAUACCUCUCAAGUGUGACGUUACUCGCAGAAGAAGCACCGGCUAACUCCGUGCCAGCAGCCGCGGUAAUACGGAGGGUGCAAGCGUUAAUCGGAAUUACUGGGCGUAAAACGCGCGUAGGCGGCUUGUUAAGCCAGAUGUGAAAGCCCCGGGCUUAACCUGGGAACUGCAUUUGGAACUGGCAGGCUAGAGUACAGAAGAGGGUGGUAGAAUUUCCUGUGUAGCGGUGAAAUGCGUAGAUAUGGGAAGGAAUACCAGUGGCGAAGGCGGCCACCUGGUCUGAUACUGACGCUGAGGUGCGAAAGCGUGGGGAGCA